Lycium ferocissimum is the source of this 3502-nucleotide long non-coding RNA. RefSeq lists it as uncharacterized. The record is from RefSeq and is a predicted model, not a curated record. Lineage: Eukaryota; Viridiplantae; Streptophyta; Magnoliopsida; Solanales; Solanaceae. The transcript has 2 exons.
GUAGAUAUGGAUGAUAUAUUAACAAUAAAGUAAAUGGUCCCAACAGCCAACAUUUCGCUGUCUAAAUUUAAAAAAUUGACCUUACUUAUUAAUGUGCAUAUCCACUACUGAUUAUUCUGUUUUCCUUAUCUUGUUCUUCUUCUUGUAGAACACAAAUGACAAAAUUAUAUAUAAAUCAUUCUGCUUCAGUAGCCACAAGGGUAUUUCCAUUGAAGCACCCCAAAUAUGCCUUCUAUUUGAGUGUUGGAAAUGUCAAAGUUCAUCUGCCUAUUGGAAGAACAAAGGUAGAUUUUCAAGUAUUGAAGAGCAACUACUAGAAAAGUGGUUUGUUUGAAGGUACUUACAUAUGUGGAUUGUGGAGUCUGAAUUUGCUUCCAUGACAGUGGCCAAAAACUUUGUGGUCACUGUUCUGAUUAGUACACAAUGCAAUUAUGAAUUCCAAGAUCAAACACGUAGCAUUCUUCAUUGACGUCGGCGUUGUGUGAGCAAGACCAGGCCAGAAGAGCACGGUGGGGUCCAAUCGUCAUUCGUAAGGAGUAUCAUUUGGGUAAAUAGGAGGCAAUAAAUAUCUUCAUGCCCACUGCGUUGACUAAAUCCGAGAGUCCGAGCUACUGCCAUAACAAUCAAUGUUAUGUCAUGUGCAUUGAUAUUAUAUAGCAGUAGAAUAAAUUUCUUUCCGUUCGCAUUACUGGCAUAAUUGUGUGAAAUUUCUUUUCGUUUUACAAAUUGACAGAUUUAAAGUUUGUGAAAAAAAAAAAAAAGAUUUAGAUCCAUUUAUUUGUGAACAAGAAAAAAGAUCUCACAUAAUUGUGUAAGUUAUGUGAAGCAUAAAAUAAACUUAUCACAAAAGUAAUAUCUUUACCCUAGUUCCUUAUGUUAAUCGUAAAAAGUUAUUUUUAAAAUUUUGACACCCUUACUAAAAAGUAGGGAAAUUAUGUGACAAUCUAUUUUGAAAAUUAUCAUCGCCUUGGAAUUUGGGUAGCUAAUUAAAAAUGAACGAGUUUAUGUUGCAAGCUUUACCAGUCCCGUUAAUCAAGAGGUGUGGUGAGAUAGGUGAGUUUCACUCAAUUCUUAACUAGUUAUCUCGAACUUGAACGGUGAGAACAUCUUCUGGUAGGAAUCAUUCUUACUUUAAUAUGAGUCAUAUACUAUGCAAAUCUGGUUUAAUCAAGUUAGUAAAUUUACGAGUUUGCAGUGGAUCCAACCAGCAGUAUUUGAGACAAAUUUAGGAGGCGAGUAACUUAUGUCAAAUUCAGAGGUGGAAAGGGAUAUUCAAUGUCCUAUCCCUUUUUCACAAAACAAAAUACAAAAGAAAAUAGUUGGCUUUAGUUUGAAGUGAAGGGAGUAAGAAAAGGAUUUUCUUGAUUGAGAAAGAAAACUAUUAUUAAAAAGAAGUUGGAGAAAACAAAGAUAGAUGGUGGGUCCUAAAUAGUUCCCAACUUUUAAGUGCCUAGAUUCAUUAUUGAUAAUAUUUCAUAUGUGGUCCAAUCAACAAAAUCGACUGUUAAGUAAAGGUCCAAAGUCUUAUCUUAGCAAUGUUGUAUUCAUUGUCUUUAUUCCUUUAAAAUUUACGUGUCAAAUUGUUCAACACUCUUUCUUGGAAUAUUACUAGGUGAUAGUGACUGUAUAGGUGGACUAGUGGAUGCAUAAUGCAUUAUCUAUAAGGUGUUCAAGGCAGUAUAUAAUAUCACACAAUUAAGUACACCUUCAUUAUUAGGUGUUUGCCCUAAUCGUUUUUAUCAUAUUUUGAUCUUCAUUUUACUUGAAGGAAGGACAAAAUAUUUACUAUAAUUAAUUUAAUUUAUUCUAAAAGAAAAAUAUAAGGUUCUUCAUAUUUGGAUUUUUUUUCUUUUUGGAGAAAAAUAUUUUCCACUUUAUAAAUUGAGGAUUUUGUUCUCUCACUUUACAAUAUUUGUAAUGUAGUCCUUUAGUACUGGAGAGUCUUGUUUUGGGGGAGAAUUUUUUCCGAUAUUUCUGUACCUUUUUUAUAUUAGUGAAUUGUUCAUAUGUAGGCCAACUGAUCAAAAUUAUAUAAAAAAUUCAUGAGGUCUCUUUUGGUAUAUUUUUCUUUACCAUCUUAUUUAUCAUCGUCUAAACUUUGUUAGCUCCCACAUGACACUUGGCGAUUUCGAUCACAACAUCCAAACAACGACAACAACAUACCUCGUGUAAACCCACAAGUGGGGGAUCACGACAUCCAUCUCAUAUAAUUUAUGGGUUUGGAUAGUUUCAAAUUUAUAUAUAGAGAGAUUUUAAAAUACUUUAUAUUUAUAUUUAGAUUAACACUAUUUAUCUAUAUUAAUAUAAUAUAUCAUACUCAUCAUAGUAGAAUUCCACAUCCACUGACCUUACUGCUGAGUUGGCUUUUGGGGUACGGUCCAGCACAUGUGGAUGAUUCAGCAAUAGUGUAAAGGUCUCAACAGCAAUUAAGUUGACCCUUAGCUGAUAUAGAUACCUAAAAUUAUUCUACUACUACUACUUCUAGAAACCAAUAUAAUGGCAAAAGGUAUAAAUAGACAAUCUUGAAAUACUCUCUUGAAGUGUACUCUCUCUUGAAGCCCUGCAAAAAUGCCUUCUAUUUUUUUGCUAUGGAACUCUCAAGUGUAUUUCCAUUUUGGAGAAUAAAGGUUAGUUUUUUUAAGUCUUGGAAGAACAUAAUAUUAUGGAUGAUCAUGUGUUGCAUCAGUGUGUUGAUAUUCUACAUGGAGCCUGAUUUAUUUUCAUGAACUCAAAUUGAGCGAAAUAAAUACACAGAAUUUAUAUAUUCGAUCUUAACUAUUGAUUUGUGUAUUUGAUUACAUAGCAGUGGCAGCAAAACUUUGUGGUUGCUCUGUUCUUAAUGAAUUCCAAGUAAUAGAUUGUUUAAUUUUAGAUGGUUAAGUUUUCAAUUCUAUAUUCUUCGUCUACUCUCUGUUUCUGGUUUCUUUUCCAAAUGAUGCAGUGAUCAUUGCCUCUUUUUUAAGGUUGAAUUUUAUUUCAUCAAAGUUUAUAAAUUUUUUUCGUUUGUGAACGAGAACGUUAUGAAUAUAAGGAAAAUGCAAGUUACUCGAUUAUUUCUUCCCCUCUUUUUUCGUGAGCAUUUAUCUGCUUAACAGGUUAAUCUUACGAUUUUCCUUGUUCUCCUGUUGACUAUAUUUAAAUAAAAGGAUUUUAAUUUAGUGUCAAUUAUUUUUUUAUUAAACAAUGAGUUCACGAGAUAAGCAAAACACAAUUUAUACACGUCUAAUUAUAAUUUCGAGAUAAUUACAUUAAAAUAAAAAAUUAAGCUCUAAUACACAUUGGUGCAGGUGUGUGUUUCUUAGUCAACGAAGAACAGUGUCAAAUUGCAGUACAAUGCAUCUAUGCAACCUUUCUGCCUUGAAAAGUAGUAGUCAGCAAGUGUCCAAUUAUCUAACUAUUUUGGAAGUUGGAUAAUGCAAAUAUUCAAAGAGAAAAUUGAUAGAUAACAACACUAACCUAACACUUGCGGAAAUUUAGUUUAGUGGUGAAAUUUAUCCUUAUU